UAAUUUACAGUCGACUCUCGUUAUCUCGAAGUCAGCCGGACCAGAGAAAUAUUUCGAGAUACACAUAGUUCGACUCAAACGAAAACCGGAAGUUUGACAGAACAAGGGACACAACUCUUGCUUAGCUUGGUAAAGCUAAAAUAAAUCCGGGUGAAUACUGGAAGGGGAUCGAUAUUCUGGUAUCAGAUCGAUGUACUUGUAUGUCAAGGUCUUUCAUUAUUAUAAUAACAUUAUUUUUACUUUUCAAUUGUUUCCGUUACAACCUUUUUCUAUGGCUUUUAUCCGAGAGAGUAAUUUCCAAUCGAUAGUUCCAUUAUUCAGGUCGUUUAUAGUUGACAAAAUUGUUUAUUCUUGGAUACAAGAGACUUUAGAAAAUUUAGAUUCUCUUCAUUUUGUUUUAUCUCACUCUUUCUUUUCAAAAGAAAAUACAACAAGAUUAAAGACGCCGAUUGAGUAGUUUUUAGGUGAUCAUCAACGGAAGUCAUAAUCCUUACUUUAUACACAC
Molecule: long non-coding RNA, 505 nt
Filed under: Mytilus galloprovincialis (Mediterranean mussel)
Lineage: Eukaryota; Metazoa; Mollusca; Bivalvia; Mytilida; Mytilidae
Source: RNAcentral